RNAcentral lists this ribosomal RNA (466 nucleotides) under uncultured bacterium. RNAcentral's name for it is "partial 16S ribosomal RNA". It matches the Rfam family "Bacterial small subunit ribosomal RNA", at positions 28 to 507 of the family's 1533-position model. The record is from RNAcentral.
GAUGAACGCUGGCGGCGUGCUUAACACAUGCAUGUCGAACGAUGAAGCCCAGCUUGCUGGGUGGAUUAGUGGCGAACGGGUGAGUAACACGUGAGUAACCUGCCCUUAACUCUGGGAUAAGCCUGGGAAACUGGGUCUAAUACCGGAUAGGAGCGCCUACCGCAUGGUGGGUGUUGGAAAGAUUUAUCGGUUUUGGAUGGACUCGCGGCCUAUCAGCUUGUUGGUGAGGUAAUGGCUCACCAAGGCGACGACGGGUAGCCGGCCUGAGAGGGUGACCGGCCACACUGGGACUGAGACACGGCCCAGACUCCUACGGGAGGCAGCAGUGGGGAAUAUUGCACAAUGGGCGAAAGCCUGAUGCAGCGACGCCGCGUGAGGGAUGACGGCCUUCGGGUUGUAAACCUCUUUCAGUAGGGAAGAAGCGAAAGUGACGGUACCUGCAGAAGAAGCACCGGCUAACUACGUG